GUGAGUCAUCGAAUCUUUGAACGCACAUUGCGCCCGCCAGUAUUCUGGCGGGCAUGCCUGUCCGAGCGUCAUUUCAACCCUCGAACCCCUCCGGGGGGUCGGCGUUGGGGAUCGGCCACCCUCUAAACCGGGCGGCCGUCUCCGAAAUACAGUGGCGGUCUCGCCGCAGCCUCUCCUGCGCAGUAGUUUGCACACUCGCAACGGGAGCGCGGCGCGUCCAAUGCCGUAAAACACCCCAAACUUCUGAAAUGUUGACCUCGGAUCAGGUAGGAAUACCCGCUGAACUUAAGCAUAUCAAUAAGCGGAGGA
This 309-nucleotide unclassified non-coding RNA is filed under the name Trichoderma sp. Its description in RNAcentral is "partial contains 5.8S ribosomal RNA, internal transcribed spacer 2, and large subunit ribosomal RNA". The stretch from base 1 to 71 matches the Rfam family "5.8S ribosomal RNA", at positions 84 to 154 of the family's 154-position model. Lineage: Eukaryota; Fungi; Ascomycota; Sordariomycetes; Hypocreales; Hypocreaceae. The record is from RNAcentral.